RNAcentral lists this ribosomal RNA (780 nucleotides) under Armillaria sp. Arg.29. Its description in RNAcentral is "eukaryotic LSU rRNA". The stretch from base 251 to 404 matches the Rfam family "5.8S ribosomal RNA". The record is from RNAcentral. Lineage: Eukaryota; Fungi; Basidiomycota; Agaricomycetes; Agaricales; Physalacriaceae.
AGAUCAUAUGAAGCAUGAAUCGUAGCAUUGAGAACUGUUGCUGACCUGUUAAAGGGUAUGUGCACGUUUGACGUGUUGGAUUCUAUUCUUUUCCACCUGUGCACCUUUGUAGACUUGGUUAGCUUUCGCUCUUGAGCGGUUAGAAGGGUUGCUUUCUUUGCUCCCUUUGUCUACCAAGUCUAUGUCCAUAUAAUCUCUUGUAUGUCUAGAAUGUCUUGUUUAUGGGAUGCAAGUCCUUUAAAUUUUAUACAACUUUCAACAACGGAUCUCUUGGCUCUCGCAUCGAUGAAGAACGCAGCGAAAUGCGAUAACUAAUGUGAAUUGCAGAAUUCAGUGAAUCAUCGAGUCUUUGAACGCACCUUGCACCCUUUGGUAUUCCGAAGGGUAUGCCUGUUUGAGUGUCAUUAAAUUCUCAACCUCGCCUAGUGCGGUGGAUUGGACAUGGGGGUUUGCUGGUUUCUAACAAGAUCAGCUCCUCUGAAAUGCAUUAGCAGAAACCGUUUGACUUUGGCUGCUAGGCUGUGAUAAUAUCUACGGCUUGGUAGUUGGGUCGGAAUACAAGUGUGGCUUAGUAUUGGUUUGGAUGGUGCUUAAGGGCUCCAUCUGUCCGAUUCUGAGAUUUCCCAAAAAGGCAAUCAAGUACGAUGUGAUGUCCAAAAAAGGAAAUCAAGUAGGAUAUGAUUGCCAAAAAAGGAAACCUACCUGUAGAAGGAUUCAGCUUCUAACGGUCCAUUGACUUGGACAAUUUAUUGACUAUUGACCCAAUCAGGUAGACUACCC